This 605-nucleotide long non-coding RNA is filed under the name Anas platyrhynchos platyrhynchos (common mallard). Its description in RNAcentral is "lncRNA (ENSAPLG00000023981.1)". The record is from RNAcentral. Lineage: Eukaryota; Metazoa; Chordata; Aves; Anseriformes; Anatidae.
GGCCCCAAAAAUGAAGACGGAGGCCCCGAAAAUGAGGAUGGAGGACAAAAAGAGGAGGAAGAAGGCCAAAAAGAAGAGGAUGGAGGCCAAAAAGAGGAUGAAGGCCCCAAAAAUGAGGAUGAGGGCCCCGAAAAUGAAGAGGGGGGCCCCAAAAAUGAGGAUGAAGGCCCCAAAAAUGAGGAUGAAGGCCCCAAAAAUGAAGAGGAAGGCCAAGAAGAGGAGGAUGGAGGCCCCAAAAAUGGGGAUGAAGGCCCCGAAAAUGAGGAUGAGGACCCCGAAAAUGAGGAUGGGGGCCCUGAGGAGGAGGAAGAGGAGGAGGAGGAGGAGGAGGAAGAUGAAGGCCCUGAGGAGGAGGAAGAUGACGAUGAUGAGGAAGAUGAAGACCCUGGGGAUGAAGUUGAUGAUGAAGAGGAUGAAGAUGAAGGCCCAGAGGAGGAAGAUGAUGAUGAUGAUGAAGGCUCCGAGGAGGAAGAUGAUGACGAUGAUGAUGAAGAUGAAGGCCCUGGAGAUGAAGAUGAAGGCCACGAGGAGGAAGAUGAUGAAGAUGAAGGCCCUGGGGAUGAAGAUGACGACGAUGAUGAUGAAGAUGAAGGCUCAGAGGAGGA